CUUGAAAUGGGCUGAGUCCCUCUUGCUCACCCUUGACUUGGAAAAACCAGUUUCUCUUUUAUUGUCUGUUACUAAUCUCUAUUCUAAAAAUUCAGCUCAAUUCUCAACCAUACUCCAAACUCUCUCUUUUCCAGCUACCUUUACUCCCUCUCCUUCAAUUCCACUUUCCUCUGCUUACUUUUUUUUUUUUUCUGACAGGGUCUCACUUUGUCGCCCGGGCAGGAGUGCAGUGGCUCAAUCUUGGGCUCACUGCAGCCUCAACCUCCCAGAGGCGGGGUUUCACCAUGUUGCCCAGACUGGUCUUGAACUCCUGAGCUUAAGCAAUCCACCUGCCUCGGCCUCCCAAAGUGUUGGGAUCACAGGCGUGAGCCACCGCAUCCGGCCUCAUGUUCUUUUUCAUUAAAGAGAGAAAUCAACUAUUCAGGACCGGCCCCCACCUUUCCUCAGGAGUCAUUUCUGUUCCGCACAGGCCUGCUGAACUGGGUGCUUUAUAUAGGACACUGUCAUCUCUCAAGUACCCAUCUUGGAGGGUACGGACCCCACAUGAGGAUUUCAGUGGAGUGAAGUUCAGGAGGCAUGGAGCUGACAACCAUGAGGCCUCGGCAGCCACCGCCACCACCGCCGCCGCCACCACCGUAGCAGCAGCAGCAGCAGCAGCAGCAGCAGCAGCAGCAGCAAGAGUAACUCUGACUUAGGAAUAGAGACAGCCAGAGAGAAAUGUGAUCAAUGAAGGAGACAUCUGGAGUGUGCGUGCUUCUUCAGAGGGACGGGUGAUGGGCAGAUUGGAAAAAGCACCGCAGAUGGGAACCUUAAUCUUUCUUUUCUAAAAUUGAUGCUAUGAAAAUUUGCGUUUUCUGUAACUUGUAAAAACUAAAAGUUGCUUGUCUACUGAAAA
This 895-nucleotide long non-coding RNA is filed under the name Homo sapiens (human). RNAcentral describes it as "MIR205 host gene, transcript variant 1 (MIR205HG)". Lineage: Eukaryota; Metazoa; Chordata; Mammalia; Primates; Hominidae. The record is from RNAcentral.